GAUGAACGCUGGCGGCGUGCCUAAUACAUGCAAGUCGAGCGAACAGACGGGGAGCUUGCUCCUCUGACGUUAGCGGCGGGCGGGUGAGUAACACGUGCAUCACCUACCUCUAUGACUGGGAUAACUUCGGGAAACCGGAUCUAAUACCGGAUAAUAUAUUGAACCGCAUGGUUCAAUGGUGAAACACGCUUUUCCUGUCUCUUAUAGAUGGAUCCGCGCCGCAUUAGCUAGUUGGUAAGGUAACGGCUUACCAAGGCGACGAUGCGUAGCCGACCUGAGAGGAUGAUCGGCCACACUGGAACUGAGACACGGUCCAGACUCCUACGGGAGGCAGCAGUAGGGAAUCUUCCGCAAUGGGCGAAAGCCUGACGGAGCAACGCCGCGUGAGUGAUGAAGGUCUUCGGAUCGUAAAACUCUGUUAUUAGGGAAGAAAAAAUGUGUAAGUAACUAUGCACGUCUUGACGGUACCUAAUCAGAAAGCAACGGCUAACUACGUG
Molecule: ribosomal RNA, 497 nt
Filed under: uncultured bacterium
Lineage: Bacteria
Description: partial 16S ribosomal RNA
Rfam family: Bacterial small subunit ribosomal RNA
Source: RNAcentral